AGCCUAUGCUGCUGCUUUGCCUAUGAAGCAGCUAUUCUUUAUUCCUUUACUUUCUUAAUAUACUUCCUUUCAUUUUACUCUGUGGACUCGCCCUGAAUUCUCUCUUGCACGAGAUCCAACAACCCUCUCUUGAGGUUUGGACUGGGACCCCUUUCUGGUCCGGCCCAGAGGGGAAAUGGAAAGAAGUCAGGAUCCAGAACAGUAAGGUCUGCAGAUGUCUGGGCAGUUUGCUGGAACACAACUGGGGUUAUAUCUGCAAAUGCUAGAGCCCAUCUACACACAGCAAAAUAUCUCACAAUGAAUUCCCAUCCACAGCCUCAGCAAUGGGCUGGUGUGUCCCCAGAGAAUGUCAGCUGAUUGGACAGCAGUCUGCAGGAGAAGGUGAAUCCCCUAAUUUGGAAGGAACUGAAGCAUGAAAAGAUGCUGAGAUCACAAUGAAAACAGACAAAGUCUUCUGGGGAUGAAAUGUUAAAAAGGGGAGAUGUGCAAGGAACACAGGAAGAAUAAGUUCAGGAGAUCUGUUAUACAACAUGGGGAUGAUAGUUAAUAACAAUGCAUGGUACAUUUGGGGAUUGCUAAAGGAACACCUUGUAAAGAUUUCCACCCUUCCUCUUGAAUGAUAAGUAUGAAAUGUGACGGAUAUAUUUCUUAGCUUGAUGUAGCUGUUCCACCGUGUGUGCAUAUAUCAAAACAUCACGUUGUAUCCCAUAAAUGUAUAUCGUUUAAAUUUGUUAAUUAAAAUAAUAAAUAAUAAAGAAC
Molecule: long non-coding RNA, 759 nt
Filed under: Homo sapiens (human)
Lineage: Eukaryota; Metazoa; Chordata; Mammalia; Primates; Hominidae
Description: HSALNT0409225
Source: RNAcentral